This 69-nucleotide transfer RNA is filed under the name Elephas antiquus. RNAcentral's name for it is "tRNA-His". It matches the Rfam family "tRNA". Rfam says of the family: Transfer RNA (tRNA) molecules are approximately 80 nucleotides in length. Lineage: Eukaryota; Metazoa; Chordata; Mammalia; Proboscidea; Elephantidae. The record is from RNAcentral.
GCAGACAUAGUUUAACUAAAACAUUAGGUUGUGGGCCUACAAAUAAGAAUCUAAUCCUCUUUGUCUACC